CUGCUGCUUAACAUGCAGUCGAACGCUGAAGCCCUGGUGCUUGCACCGGGGUGGAUGAGUGGCGAACGGGUGAGUAACACGUGAGUAACCUGCCCCCGACUUCGGGAUAAGCCCGGGAAACUGGGUCUAAUACCGGAUAUGACGACCGAAGGCAUCUUUGGUUGUGGAAAGUUUUUUCGGUUGGGGAUGGGCUCGCGGCCUAUCAGUUUGUUGGUGAGGUAAUGGCUCACCAAGACGACGACGGGUAGCCGGCCUGAGAGGGCGACCGGCCACACUGGGACUGAGACACGGCCCAGACUCCUACGGGAGGCAGCAGUGGGGAAUAUUGCACAAUGGGGGAAACCCUGAUGCAGCGACGCAGCGUGCGGGAUGACGGCCUUCGGGUUGUAAACCGCUUUCAGCAGGGAAGAAGCCUUUCGGGGUGACGGUACCUGCAGAAGAAGUACCGGCUAACUACGUGCCAGCAGCCGCGGUAAUACGUAGGGUACAAGCGUUGUCCGGAAUUAUUGGGCGUAAAGAGCUCGUAGGUGGUUGGUCACGUCUGCUGUGGAAACGCAACGCUUAACGUUGCGCGUGCAGUGGGUACGGGCUGACUAGAGUGCAGUAGGGGAGUCUGGAAUUCCUGGUGUAGCGGUGAAAUGCGCAGAUAUCANGAGGAACACCGGUGGCGAAGGCGGGACUCUGGGCUGUAACUGACACUGAGGAGCGAAAGCAUGGGGAGCGAACA
Molecule: ribosomal RNA, 727 nt
Filed under: Brevibacterium sp. MYb233
Lineage: Bacteria; Bacillati; Actinomycetota; Actinomycetes; Micrococcales; Brevibacteriaceae
Description: bacterial SSU rRNA
Rfam family: Bacterial small subunit ribosomal RNA
Source: RNAcentral